This 245-nucleotide unclassified non-coding RNA is filed under the name Ascomycota sp. Its description in RNAcentral is "partial contains small subunit ribosomal RNA, internal transcribed spacer 1, and 5.8S ribosomal RNA". The stretch from base 1 to 46 matches the Rfam family "Eukaryotic small subunit ribosomal RNA", at positions 1786 to 1831 of the family's 1831-position model. Lineage: Eukaryota; Fungi; Ascomycota. The record is from RNAcentral.
AAGUCGUAACAAGGUUUCCGUAGGUGAACCUGCGGAAGGAUCAUUAAAGAGAUCAUGCCCUCACGGGUAGACCUCCCACCCUUUGUUUACAAUACCUUUGUUGCUUUGGCGGGCCCGUUUGGCCCCGCGCUGAACAACCGGCCCCGGCUGGUCAGUGCCCGCCAGGGAACCGAAAACUCUGAAUUAAAUGUCGUCUGAGUACUAUGUAAUAGUUAAAACUUUCAACAACGGAUCUCUUGGUUCUG